This 429-nucleotide ribosomal RNA is filed under the name Bacteroidota bacterium. RNAcentral describes it as "Bacteroidetes bacterium partial 16S ribosomal RNA". It matches the Rfam family "Bacterial small subunit ribosomal RNA", at positions 355 to 776 of the family's 1533-position model. The record is from RNAcentral. Lineage: Bacteria; Pseudomonadati; Bacteroidota.
UAGGGAAUCUUCCGCAAUGGGCGAAAGCCUGACGGAGCAACGCCGCGUGAGUGAUGAAGGUCUUCGGAUCGUAAAACUCUGUUAUUAGGGAAGAACAAAUGUGUAAGUAACGAUGCACAUCUUGACGGUACCUAAUCAGAAAGCCACGGCUAACUACGUGCCAGCAGCCGCGGUAAUACGUAGGUGGCAAGCGUUAUCCGGAAUUAUUGGGCGUAAAGCGCGCGUAGGCCGUUUUUUAAGUCUGAUGUGAAAGCCCACGGCUCAACCGUGGGGGGUCAUUGGAAACUGGAAAACUUGCGUGGAGAAGAGGGAAGGGGGAUUCCAUGUGUAGCGGUGAAAUGGGCAAAGUAAUGGAAGGACACCAGUGGCGAAGGCGACUUUCUGGUCUGUAACUGACGCUGAUGUGCGAAAACGUGGGGAGCGAACAAG